This 456-nucleotide ribosomal RNA is filed under the name uncultured bacterium. RNAcentral describes it as "partial 16S ribosomal RNA". It matches the Rfam family "Bacterial small subunit ribosomal RNA", at positions 355 to 823 of the family's 1533-position model. The record is from RNAcentral.
UGGGGAAUAUUGCACAAUGGGCGAAAGCCUGAUGCAGCGACGCCGCGUGAGGGAUGACGGCCUUCGGGUUGUAAACCUCUUUCAGCAGGGAAGAAGCGAAGGUGACGGUACCUGCAGAAGAAGCGCCGGCUAACUACGUGCCAGCAGCCGCGGUAAUACGUAGGGCGCAAGCGUUGUCCGGAAUUAUUGGGCGUAAAGAGCUCGUAGGCGGUUAGUCGCGUCUGCUGUGAAAACUCGAGGCUCAACCUCGGGCUUGCAGUGGGUACGGGCUGACUAGAGUGCGGUAGGGGUGACUGGAAUUCCUGGUGUAGCGGUGGAAUGCGCAGAUAUCAGGAGGAACACCGAUGGCGAAGGCAGGUCACUGGGCCGCAACUGACGCUGAGGAGCGAAAGCAUGGGGAGCGAACAGGAUUAGAUACCCUGGUAGUCCAUGCCGUAAACGUUGGGCACUAGGUGU